UACGUAGGGGGCAAGCGUUGUCCGGAAUUAUUGGGCGUAAAGAGCUCGUAGGCGGCUCGGUAAGUCAGGUGUGAAAUUCCAGGGCUCAACCCUGGAACGCCACCUGAUACUGCUGUGGCUAGAGUCCGGUAGGGGAGCGUGGAAUUCCUAGUGUAGCGGUGAAAUGCGCAGAUAUUAGGAGGAACACCAGCGGCGAAGGCGGCGCUCUGGGCCGGAACUGACGCUGAGGAGCGAAAGCAUGGGGAGCGAACAGG
RNAcentral lists this ribosomal RNA (254 nucleotides) under uncultured bacterium. Its description in RNAcentral is "partial 16S ribosomal RNA". It matches the Rfam family "Bacterial small subunit ribosomal RNA", at positions 524 to 776 of the family's 1533-position model. The record is from RNAcentral.